UACGUAGGGUGCGAGCGUUGUCCGGAAUUAUUGGGCGUAAAGAGCUUGUAGGCGGUUUGUCGCGUCUGCUGUGAAAAUCCGGGGCUCAACCCCGGACUUGCAGUGGGUACGGGCAGACUAGAGUGUGGUAGGGGAGACUGGAAUUCCUGGUGUAGCGGUGAAAUGCGCAGAUAUCAGGAGGAACACCGAUGGCGAAGGCAGGUCUCUGGGCCACUACUGAC
RNAcentral lists this ribosomal RNA (221 nucleotides) under uncultured bacterium. Its description in RNAcentral is "partial 16S ribosomal RNA". It matches the Rfam family "Bacterial small subunit ribosomal RNA", at positions 524 to 744 of the family's 1533-position model. The record is from RNAcentral.